Molecule: long non-coding RNA, 664 nt
Organism: Gossypium arboreum
Lineage: Eukaryota; Viridiplantae; Streptophyta; Magnoliopsida; Malvales; Malvaceae
Exons: 3
Source: RefSeq, a predicted model, not a curated record
AGCGUCAGUCUUCUUUUGUGUAUAAAUCACGAGAUUUGUUUGGUUUCUAAGAAAAUAUUUUAUUCGUGUUUGAUUUAAAGAGUUACCCACUUGAUACACAAUCGUUGAGGCUCUAUAAAGUCUUAAUUCCACCUCUUCGUUUCAUUUUCCGAGAAAAUGUUGGACUUGACGGAAAAUCCCAAGUUGGACAGAUCCUUCAAAGGCAGAGAGAGGAGCUGAGGCAACCAACUAAGAGUUAGAUAUCCUGAAUGCAUGCAUGGAUCCGAGUAUUAAACGCUUGAUGUACCUGAUAGUGGCUUGGCAGCACUAGUACGGCUUAGCAAUGGUGACAUGAGAAAGGCUUUGAACAUUUUGCAGGUGUUUAAACUACUUAUUCCUAUACUGUUUCUGCGUAAAUUGUUGUACAAUGAUAGUUACUUAUUUAAGAACCGUAAGUCAGAGAAACAACAGGUUGGCUUCGAUCUGUUAUUUGCUUUGUGGCAAAAGUGGUGUUACAUUACCACAUUAUCUCAUUGCUCUUCAGAGGGGUGGUGUAGCCUUGUCUAAUUUAUGUGUUUAGGUGAUGUGAACGUUAGUUUUAAUUGGAUAGGAUGGAUUUCUUUUUUCCUAAUUAAAGUGAUAAUAUGAUCUAUAUAUGUGAAAAUGUUGAUUAUUUGUAUAAUAA